GUUCUGAGACAAAAAUAAUCAAUGCAUAAACAUGCAACAGAGGAAAACUGAAUGGCUAUCAAGCAGGCAUGAGGAUAGCAUAUUGCCAAAAAGAUAAAAUCAAGUAUGCCAAGCUAGUUGGCAAGAUUCCAAUUAUCAAUUGAAUUUAGGUGACGGGUCAUCUGAUAAAAAGUUGACUGGUGUUCCAGAAAUCCCUACUGCUGAUAAUAAUAGCAACAACAUGCAUCAACUAUAUGAAAACUGCAAGACACAUAACAAAACAAAAGAGAGUAAAUGAAAACUAAC
This 285-nucleotide unclassified non-coding RNA is filed under the name Hevea brasiliensis (rubber tree). Lineage: Eukaryota; Viridiplantae; Streptophyta; Magnoliopsida; Malpighiales; Euphorbiaceae. The record is from RNAcentral.